GGUAGUCCACGCCCUAAACGAUGCGAACUGGAUGUUGGGUGCAAUUUGGCACGCAGUAUCGAAGCUAACGCGUUAAGUUCGCCGCCUGGGGAGUACGGUCGCAAGACUGAAACUCAAAGGAAUUGACGGGGGCCCGCACAAGCGGUGGAGUAUGUGGUUUAAUUCGAUGCAACGCGAAGAACCUUACCUGGUCUUGACAUCCACGGAACCUUCCAGAGAUGGAUUGGUGCCUUCGGGAACCGUGAGACAGGUGCUGCAUGGCUGUCGUCAGCUCGUGUCGUGAGAUGUUGGGUUAAGUCCCGCAACGAGCGCAACCCUUGUCCUUAGUUGCCGGCACGUAAUGGUGGGAACUCUAAGGAGACCGCCGGUGACAAACCGGAGGAAGGUGGGGAUGACGUCAAGUCAUCAUGGCCCCUACGACCAGGGCUACACACGUACUACAAUGGUAGGGACAGAGGGCUGCAAACCCGCGAGGGUAAGCCAAUCCCAGAAACCCUAUCUCAGUCCGGAUUGGAGUCUGCAACUCAACUCCAUGAAGUCGGAAUCGCUAGUACUCGCAGAUCAGCAUUGCUGCGGUGAAUACGUUCCCGGGCCUUGUACACACCGCCCGUCACACCAUGGGAGUUUGUUGCACCAGAAGCAGGUAGCUUAACCUUCGGGAGGGCGCUUGCCACGGUGUGGCCGAUGACUGGGGUGAAGUCGUAACAAGGUAGCCGUAUCGGAAGGUGC
RNAcentral lists this ribosomal RNA (729 nucleotides) under uncultured bacterium. Its description in RNAcentral is "bacterial SSU rRNA". It matches the Rfam family "Bacterial small subunit ribosomal RNA", at positions 789 to 1515 of the family's 1533-position model. The record is from RNAcentral.